Molecule: long non-coding RNA, 6019 nt
Filed under: Prunus dulcis (almond)
Lineage: Eukaryota; Viridiplantae; Streptophyta; Magnoliopsida; Rosales; Rosaceae
Description: sRNA ncRNA
Source: RNAcentral
CUAACAUUCAAGUUCAACACAUGCUCUAACAUUCAAGUUGAACACAAAAUCAAACCACACACCCACCAAAUCAAACCACACACCCAUCAAACCAAACCUCAUACCUACCAAACCAAAUCACACACCCACCAAACCAAGCCAUUUGCUUUGCCUAUAAAUAGGCAUUCUAUUUGCUUGUAAUGUGAGAUGAAAUGAGAGAAGAUGAAGGGAAGGAAGAAAGAGGGUGAGUGUGUGAAGAGAAAGAGAGCAAAGAGAAAUUCUCCUAGAGAGAAAAUUAGGUGAGCAUACAUAUUGUAAACACUAGAGUUGUAACCAUAUUAUGUUAUGAAUGAAAGGUUACUGUUGCUGCUCUCCGGGGACGUAGGCAUAGCCGAACCUCGUUAAAUGCUGUGUCUCGUCUACUUUACGUGCAGUUCAAUAUUCGCUCAUAUCCCCGUUCAUUUUAUAACACGUUAUCAGCACGAGAAGCUCUCAGGUAUAAUUUUUGUGUUGCACUAUUAUCUAUACUACUAACCAUUAUGUUGAUGUAAGGAAGAAAAGUAGUGGAGAAGUUGUGGUCUGCUAGAGAGAUAUACGAGCAAACCAACUGUAAGGAUAAGCUCUAUGCCUCUUACUUUUUCUAUUAUUUUAUUAUUUCUCUAUAUUUUUAGUGGUGGUUUUUAUCCCCACAUUUAUUUUAUUUAUUGUAUGGUGUAGGUUUAUUACCCAUACAACAAUAUCUAUUUAAAAGGGUAGUGCGGGUUUAUCGUCCACACCUUUACUUUUAUUUAAAUGUAUUUACUUUUAUUUAAAUGUAUGGAGCAGAAUUAGUGCCCAUACAAGCACGUUUACUUUAUCGUAAAUUUACUUUUACUUAAAGUAUGAUGUGGAAUUAACCCUCAUACUUUAUGAAUUUACUUUACCACACAUUUAAUUUUAUUUAAAGUAUGAUGUGGAAUUAACCCUCAUACUUUAUGAAUUUACUUUACCGCACAUUUAAUUUUAUUUAAGGUAUGGUGCGGGAUUAACGUCCAUACAGCAAUUUAAUUUAUGAAUUUACUUUACCGCACAUUUAAUUUUAUUUAAAGUAUGGUGCGGUUUUAUCGUCCAUACCAGUAAUUUAUUUACUAGCAAUUUAUUUUAUGGAUUAAUUGUGCUGUAUGAUGAGUUUUUUUACAGUAUGCAGAUCAGGACCAGAAGUUCCUUGAUCCUCAUCAUACAAUUACAUCAGGACUUGAAGAUCCUUGAUGAUGAUAUUGAUAUGAGAACUGGCAGUCUCUCCAGUACUAUACAUGUAAACAAGAGAUCGGACUUGAAGAUCCUUGAUCCUUGACAUGUAAAUAAGGACCUAGAGUUCCUUGAUGAUGUAACAGUACCGGAUUGGUUAAAAGUGCCGUACACAUGAAUAAUAACUGUACUGGCAAAUGUACUGCACACAUAAAUAGAUAUGUAUUCAUGACUUAAUGAAUAGUACUAUUCACAUGAAUAGUGACGUAUGCAUAAAUAUUAACCAUUUUGGGUAAACCGUCACUAUAUACAAAAGGGAACCUGCAGUUCCUUAAACUCAUGGAUGAGCAAUUAAAUGGGAUGCCAGAAGUUCUUCAAAAUAUGGACAAUUAUGUAAGGGCCUGAAGUCCCGAAAUAUGUAUAGAAAAUUGUACAAAUGUCCAUACCAUGCAGAAUAUGUGAUUUUGGCCCGAAGUUCAAAAUCUAAGGGGAUUGAAUAUCCAUACCAUGAGAAUAUGUGAUUUUGGCCUGAAGUUCAAAAUCUAACAGUGUUGAGAACCUAAAGUUCCAACAGUUAAAUGGACAAUAAUUGAGGUAUUAUUGCAAAUUGUGGUACACCACAUAUUUCUUUGGCAUAAGAGAAUGAUGAACUUAAUAAAGUUCGAUUAUAUUAUAAUCGACACCUCAAGGAAGAAAUAUAUUUUGUGAAUCCGGUUGUUAAGAAUACACCGUGAAAUGGAUAAUAUCAAUAUAAACUUCAAAUGAUGAAUUAAGGCUCCCCACAUAUUUUGUUAUAUCUGGGCCGGAAGCCCAUGGAUCCAAAUAUAUGAGAGAUCCUAAAACUUGAAGUUGUGGGUAUAUAGUAGUUAAUGUUCCUCACUACUAUAUUGAGAUAUUAUCGUGGCUUUUACUCAAUUCAUAUUUCAUGUCCAUUUGAAAAUGGCGAAUAAAUUAUGAGUUUGGGUUUAACCCAGACCAAAAGUUCUGGGCUCACAUGCAUGGAAAUAUGAGAGAUUUGAUAUGGUUAUUUGAACCUAUAAGGCACAAGGUUCCAGACCGUCAUUUUGAAAAGACGUAAACACCACAGGCCCUGUAAAAUCUAUAAAAUUACAUUAUGUUCUAGAAGCCUCUCAAGGAAGAGGACGGUGCCUCUUAAGCCUAGCCAUGAGCCUCUCGUGGUCUCCCAAAAUUCUUUCAUUGGAGACCUGCAGCAUGUCUAGCCUUCUCAGUGUAUCAACGGAGUACGAACUCACCAGUUUCAACAAGGAAUUAUUCUCUCCUUUAAGUUUCUCAACCUCCUGUUGAGACUCAUGAAGCAUUCUUUGAAGAGACGAAUUUUUCAGUUGUUAGCCUCUCAACCUCGUUUGCUCUAGCACGCAAACGAUCAGCCAUGUUAGAAACAGAAACAGCACUCUGAAUGCUAAAAGCCAUUGAGUCAUCAAUAGCCUCUUCCUCAGACCUCCCUGCCAACAACAUUUCAUCCAUUGGAAUAAUGAAAUUCCUAGCUACUGUGACAGCAGUAGCAUCAUUCAUCAUCACAGAAUCAUUAACUGUGAGAUGACGAUUUUGGGUUACAAAGGAUGGACGCCACACUUGGGCGUCACUGGUUGUUGUGGGAGCAUCAUUUAAAUUGAAAUUAUUUGGGCAGGAAGAAGAGGAAGCCAUUUUAAGAAGGUUUCAAAGGAAGUUUUACAAAAACUAAAGUUUCAGAAAAUGAAGGAAGUUGAGUUGAAACGCAGUUGCUCCAAUCAAGUUUUGCAAAGGCAAUAUCUAUAGACGAAAAUGUGGCAACUUUUCAGGAUUCCAAUAUCUUCUCGAAUCCCCACAUUAUCUUUUUUCUUUCGCAAGAGUCCAAAACUUCACGUGGCCUCUGAUAAUGCCUGUCGGCACUUUCGGCGCUUUCAAGUGUUAUUUUCGUCAAAGCCGAUCUUGCUUUAUGGAUUUCACGGAGCUACUUUUUCAAAAGUAUCCCGAGAAUCUCGCAAUUUUCCCAUGGUUAAUUUGAAAAUCACAGGUUCUACCUAUUCAUUGUAUUUGUGUAUAAAUGUGUUACUAACGAAAUUUUCUUUGUAGAAAACAUCCAGUUUUCCCAUACAAAAUGAUGCUAUAUCUACUUGUUUUUCUUAUCAUUAAGCACUUAAUGUGCCUGAGAAGCAAGACUAUCUCUGAUCAUCUAUUCAGGAAGCAAGACUAUCCCUGAUCAUGUUUCUGCAAGAUCAGGGAAUUGUGAAGGCGGCCUUGUGCUCUAAUCUCCUGAGAUCCUUCUAGACUAGGAGAAUUGAGAGCUUGUUUUCUGCUCCUACCAGCUUCCUUCCCUGAUUGCUUACCUUAUCUUGCAUCAACAUCACAAUUUUUUUUGCAUUUUUUCUCUUUUGCAGCUCUCUGUUCAUAAGAGAUUUUAUUUCUUUAGAAUGAACAUCUAAAGAAAGAAUCCAUGAAGUGAUCCUAACUCUGAGAGUUAUUGACAGAGAAAAGAAUUGUGAUUUUGCUUUGCAGGAUAUAACUAGAUCAUCAAGCACUACAUUUACUGGGCCGAUAUGAGCUUGAAUGAUACUUGAGAAAAGUUUCUCCCACCUAAGGAUGUAAGCAAUACUUGUGUUAUUUUAUGCUUAUAUACUUAUUUGAUAUUUUACCUUGAAAAGUAACCAAAUGGGGAGAUAAGUCUGUUCCAAAAGAAUGGCUUGUAUGUAUCCAUGAAUUAUUAAGGCAAAUUUUUCAGAUUGCAAGUUGGAUACAUUGAUAAUACACUGCACAGAUUAAAGUCCCAUAAGAACAUAAUAUGGGUAUAGCAGUGAUCAAUAUGAUGCACGCAUGUUGCGUAGCAAAUGAUGUGGAUUGAAGUCCCGAAAGGACAAUCCCUUGACAUGUCAAUAUUGAUAUUGUUCACGCCUAAUGCGUUGCAAAUUGUAUGGGUUAAAGUCCCAGAAAUCAAUUGACAUGUAUAUAUUAAUCUGUGGCAUGCCUGCAUCAUGCCAGAUAUAUGGUUCUAAAUGUUCCAACUCCCUAAAUGGAGAUUAUCCACGCCCUACUAUAAAAUAACGCUCCGUUGGAGGUUAUAAUCCACAUUCUCACAUAAUAAAAACCCCCUGCUGUGGCUUGGGUACCCAAAAGCAAAGAAAUGCUUAUAAUUGAUGUAUGCGCAUGCACAUGAGAAUGGUGGGAUCAUGAAUUGAUGAAUGACAAAUUUUGAUUUUGAAGUAGCUACUCAAAUCAUCAAUGGGCUGUGUUGAUUGGAACCACGUUCAAUUAUUAAGAUGUCGACAAUAUCAUUGGCCAAAAUGGACUGAGGCAAUUCCAUUAUAGAUGAGAAUGAACGUGAAAGAACAAACCCACAGUACGAACCCCAAAAGAUGUUAAUAUUAAAAGUUAUACUUGGGUGUUCGGAAUAAAAGGGAAUAUACUUACUUUGUAUGACACAAUGUUUCUGGCAGAAACAAGGAAUGUUGGGUUUUCUCCAUAUUUUCAAAAUUCAAUUGUGCCCCCCCUUAUUGCACAUGGAGACGACCAACAUGUUAUCUCUAAAAGUUAUUAAAGGCAUGGAGCAUAUUGCCAAAAGCGAUUUCCUAAAGAUGUAUAAAUAGCUCGGUUAAAGCUAUAUAAUGUGUCAUAAAGUUUAAUCCCUUUAAACAAAAUCCUUGAGAGGAUUGAAAUUGCAUGAAGCAAGUCCCUGAAUGACAUGUGCCUGAAGCACAAAAUCUGUACUCAAUACUAAUAUGCAUAAAUUGCCUCAGUGAGUACAUUAAUAUGUUUGCAACACAUUAAAACUUCUCAAGAGUUCCAGAAAUACUUGUCUCGACUUAAAGAUCGAGCAUUAUGCCAACGAGAUUAUUGCUUAUACUAAGAAAGUAUUGAAGCAUUUUUAUGAGGACUAUCCGUUGGACACUUUAAGGAUUUUCCGGAAGUAUAUUGGACCGGACAUCGUAUUUGAGCUCAACUCCAUCACCAUCAUUUUGGGAUGAUGUGAGGUAUAUUUGAUGCUAUUUCCGCAUAACACUAUGUAUGGGCAUAUUCUUUCAAGUGAACUUACAAAUAGCCCAAGUUUUGCUGGAAACGCGAACUCUGAAAAAUUUUAUGAUUCACAUAGAGAUAGCUCACUGGAAAUAUAUUUACUUACUCAACUACGAGAAUUAUUAAUGGCUACAUCCUCCACUCACUCCGAAAGAUUCUCACUCAAAAAGAUAGUCAUGAAGACAUCAGGGGGAGAUAUUAAUCAGGGGGAGCAUCCAGAAGUAUGCUAUACAGAUUGUUAUACUCUUCUUUCUUCCUUCCAUCAGUUUUCUACCUCACUAGGUUUUCUCCAAGCAAGGUUUUAAUGAGGCAACCAAUCUAGGGACAUGUGGUCUCCAAGGGGGAGUGUUGUAAAAUGGGUGAAGCCCACAUUGCAAACUAACAUUCAAGUUCAACACAUGCUCUAACAUUCAACACCAAAUCAAACCACACACCCAUCAAACCAAACCACAUACCUACCAAACCAAAUCACACCCCCACCAAACCAAGCCAUUUGCUUUGCCUAUAAAUAGGCAUUCUAUUUGCUUGUAAUGUGAGAUGAAAUGAGAGAAGAUGAAGGGAAGGAAGAAAGAGGGUGAGUGUGUGAAGAGAAAGAGAGCAAAGAGAAAUUCUUCUAGAGAGAAAAUUAGGUGAGCAUACAUAUUGUAAACACUUGAGUUGUAACCAUAUUAUGUUAUGAAUGAAAGGUUACUGUUGCUGCUCUCCGAGGACGUAGGCAUAGCCGAACCUCGUUAAAUGCUGUGUCUCAUCUACUUUACGUGCAGUUCAAUAUUCGCUCAUAUCCCCGUUCAUUUUAUAACAUCAU